Molecule: ribosomal RNA, 835 nt
Filed under: uncultured bacterium
Lineage: Bacteria
Description: bacterial SSU rRNA
Rfam family: Bacterial small subunit ribosomal RNA
Source: RNAcentral
CCGGUGUAGCGGUGAAAUGCGUAGAUAUCGGGAAGAACACCAGUGGCGAAGGCGCUCUGCUGGGCCAUCACUGACGCUCAUGGACGAAAGCCAGGGGAGCGAAAGGGAUUAGAUACCCCUGUAGUCCUGGCCGUAAACGAUGAACACUAGGUGUCGGGGGAAUCGACCCCCUCGGUGUCGUAGCCAACGCGUUAAGUGUUCCGCCUGGGGAGUACGCACGCAAGUGUGAAACUCAAAGGAAUUGACGGGGGCCCGCACAAGCGGUGGAGUAUGUGGUUUAAUUCGAUGCAACGCGAAGAACCUUACCAGGGUUUGACAUCCUGCGAAUCUCUUGGAAACGAGAGAGUGCCUUCGGGAGCGCAGUGACAGGUGGUGCAUGGCUGUCGUCAGCUCGUGUCGUGAGAUGUUGGGUUAAGUCCCGCAACGAGCGCAACCCACGUCUUUAGUUGCCAGCAUUUAGUUGGGCACUCUAGAGAGACCGCCGGUGAUAAACCGGAGGAAGGUGUGGAUGACGUCAAGUCAUCAUGCCCCUUACAUCCUGGGCUACACACGUACUACAAUGCUACGGACAAAGGGCAGCAAGUUCGCGAGGACAAGCAAAUCCCAUAAACCGUGGCUCAGUUCAGAUCGUAGGCUGCAACUCGCCUACGUGAAGGAGGAAUCGCUAGUAAUCGCAGGUCAGCAUACUGCGGUGAAUACGUUCCCGGGCCUUGUACACACCGCCCGUCACACCAUGGAAGUUGGCCACGCCCGAAGCCGUUACUCCAACCCUUGUGGAGGAGGACGUCGAAGGUGGGGCUGAUGACUGGGGUGAAGUCGUAACAAGGUAACCGUA